CGAGAGAAGAGCGAGAGUGAGCACAGGCAGACAGAGUGACAAGCAGAGGCAGAGGAGAAGCAGGCUCCCUGCCAAGCAAGGAGCCCGAUGUGGGACUCGAUCCCAGGAUGCUGGGAUCAUGACCUGAGCCAAAGACAGCUGCCUAACCAACUGAGCCACCCAGGCAUCCCUACAGGAGACAUUUGGCAUUGCUGGAAGACAGUUGGACGUAGAAGGCACUACUGGUACCCAGUGGCUAAGGUGGGGGAAAGGUGGAAACUGGUCACAAUCCUGCAGUGCACAACAAAGAAUCAUCUCAGCGUCAAUGUUAGUAGUGCUGAGGCCAAGAAACCCCGCUCUGGGGGCAUCUGGCUGGCUCAUUGGGAAAGCAUGCAACUCCUGAUCUCCAGGUUGUAAGUUCAAGCCCCCUUGUGGGUGUAGAGAUCACAUAAAAAUAAAAUCUUGGGUGCCUGGGUGGCUCAGUGGGUUAGGCCUCUGCCUUUGCCUUGGGUCGUGAUCUCAGGGUCCUGGGAUCAAGUCCUGUGUCAGGCUCUCUGCUUGGCGGGAGCCUGCUUCCUCCUCUCUCUCUCUGCCUACUCGUGAUCUCGCUCUGUCAAAUAAAUAAAUAAAAUCUUUAAAAAUAAUAAAAUAAAAUAAAAUCUUAGAAAAACAAAAACAAACCCAAACCCUGCUCUGUAGUAUUCCAGUAUGUCACAAUUUAUCCAUUCCUCAAAUGAUGGGGACACAGAAAGCUUUACACUAGUUACGAUUGUGAACUGCCUGAAAUGUUCAUAACUUAGGGUUUGUCCCCAUGACAACGUAUUAUGCAGUUAGGAGAUUUCACAUUUACAAAGAAUUUUUUUGUUUUGUUUUGUUUUGUUUUUAAGAUUUUAUUAUUUACUUAUUUGACAGAAAGAGUUCACAAGCAAGCAGAGAGAGUGAGGGGGAAGC
RNAcentral lists this long non-coding RNA (930 nucleotides) under Mustela putorius furo (domestic ferret). Its description in RNAcentral is "lncRNA (ENSMPUG00000032117.1)". Lineage: Eukaryota; Metazoa; Chordata; Mammalia; Carnivora; Mustelidae. The record is from RNAcentral.